RNAcentral lists this unclassified non-coding RNA (244 nucleotides) under plant metagenome. RNAcentral's name for it is "partial contains small subunit ribosomal RNA, internal transcribed spacer 1, and 5.8S ribosomal RNA". The record is from RNAcentral.
UUUCCGUUGGUGAACCAGCGGAGGGACCAUUACCGAGUUUACAACUCCCAAACCCAAUGUGAACCAUACCAAACUGUUGCCUCGGCGGGGUCACGCCCCGGGUGCGUCGCAGCCCCGGAACCAGGCGCCCGCCGGAGGGACCAACCAAACUCUUUCUGUAGUCCCCUCGCGGACGUUAUUUUUACAGCUCUGAGCAAAAAUUCAAAAUGAAUCAAAACUUUCAACAACGGAUCUCUUGGUUCUG